GGCGCGCGCCCCUCUCGGCUGCCGCCAUCUUGAGGCCUUUCCCGGCCGCCGCCUCCAUCCGCCGGCAUCCGCCUCCAUCCGCGCCUCCCGCCAAAGCCGGGGAACUGAGCGGGCGCCGCCGCACCGCCAUGAGGGCCAAGUGGCGCAAGAAGCGAAUGCGCAGGCUGAAGCGCAAGAGAAGAAAGAUGAGGCAGAGGUCCAAGUAACCGCCCCCACCGGGGACGCGGCCCGGGGCCGUCCCGGUGAUGUCCCGGUGAUGCCCCGGUGAUGUCCCGGUGCCCUCCGGUCCGGCCGUGCCGGCCCGGUUCUUCGCUUAGCGGCGCCGCGGUGCCGUGAAAUAA
This 341-nucleotide long non-coding RNA is filed under the name Malurus cyaneus samueli. RNAcentral describes it as "lncRNA (ENSMCSG00000011446.1)". Lineage: Eukaryota; Metazoa; Chordata; Aves; Passeriformes; Maluridae. The record is from RNAcentral.